Leucoraja erinaceus (little skate) is the source of this 4636-nucleotide long non-coding RNA. RefSeq lists it as uncharacterized. The record is from RefSeq and is a predicted model, not a curated record. The transcript has 3 exons. Lineage: Eukaryota; Metazoa; Chordata; Chondrichthyes; Rajiformes; Rajidae.
UGUUAAAGUGAGCAAGGUGUGCCUUCCAAGAGAAGAUUCGGCAGCUGAAGACGGGCCCAUGGUGGGUUACGGAGGUUGGACGAAGACGGGCCCUCGGUAGGUGCCGGAUUUCAACCCAAUAAUCUCUCCUAGAUGCAACACUUGCAAGAACAUAGAUAUUUGAAUGUUAACUCAAACAUUGCAGGAUGUCCAAACGCAGGUGAUGGAAGUUAAACCUCACUUCACACCCCCUUGCAACGCUCAGGUUGCCAGAAGAAAUGUACAGAAAGCGACACCUGAAAGCCAAGGAGUUUGGGAAUGAAGCCUCUAGUUUCCGGAGGACAGAGGCCCAAACAAGUCAACACAGAUUAAAAGUAGGAGGAAAAGGCCCAGCCUUGAACAUACAGGAGGGCAGGAGGCACUUCUUCUCUGGGGAAACCAAAGCAUCAGCAUAGACCAGAAGAUAGUCAUUGGUGAAGUAGGCUGGUCUCCACUGUGCGAUACUAUUAGAUUCACCCCAAGGACUUGGCCAAAAGAAAGAUGUCCAGGAUCCUGACGUGCUCUUGGAGGGCACUGCUAGCAAGACAGAAAAAUCCCAGGAUCACAAAAGAAGCACAAUGAAGAACAACUAUCAUUUACUGAUAAACCUGCAGUGUCUUGGAUAUUAAUUUGAGAUCGAUCUGUACUGAAAGAUGUGACAGAUCGACGGUUGAAGAGCUACUUAACCUUGCCCUGGAGGAUGAUAUUCUACAAGGCGUCCAGGCUGAGAGUCGCUGUCCAACCUGAGGAGAUCCAGUGCAUCUGUUGCCUUCUCUCGCCCAGUCCAACAUAAGGUAUGUAAAAAGCUACUGAAAAGAGCUUAAUAUUUUAUUCCCAACAAACAGGGUUUUUUAAGAGUCAGUGAAAAGAGAUGUAAUAUUUCAUUCCCAUAGUCUGCCAUGUCCAUUUAAUCUGGUUGUCCUGUUUCUCUAUUUGUAGUGCUUUGUUUAGAAGCAUGCAUCUAUUUCAGACCAGUAUUUGAUCUUGUGGAUCGUGCCAUAAUUUAUUAGUAAUUGUAUUGUGACAAUGUAAGGUGCUGGAAUAGGCAUUUGAACCUUCUUCAAUAGGUAGCAAAAAAAUGGUAAUGGUAAAAGGAUGAUUAGUAGGAUGACCACAAUAAUCUUCGAAGCUGGUUCUUGUUUGAUCCAAACAUAACUUGCUGUUGUAGUGACUGAUCAUGAUACAUUUGUCUGGACCUGGGUUCGAUCCUGACUACGGGUGCUCUCUAUGGAAUUUGUUCAUUCUCCCUGUGACCUGUGUCGGUUUUCUCUGAGAUCUUUGGUUAACUCCCACACAAGGCGUACAGGUUUGUGGGUUAAUUAGGUAUGGUAAAGAUUAUAAAUUGCUCCUACUUUGCGUGAUAGUGAUAGUGUUAAUGUGCGGGGAUCACUGUACGGUAUAGACUCAGUGAGUCGAAGGGCCUGUUUUUGCACUGUAUCUAAACUAAACUAAUUCACUGAUUCUCUUGUGCCCUUGCCUCUGUCUCUGUCUCUGAUUUCACCAACGGAUACGGAGGACCUCCACUCCCAGUAACCUUCCUCCUCAACCCUCCUUCUGUGCUGUCUUGGGCAAGCAGAAGUCACCAAUAUUGAUGGACCCAUGCUCUCAGAUCUUAGCUAUCAUGGACCUUCUGUGGACCAAUGAGCUUAACCUGGCCAAUCUGCACGCUGACAGUUGCCGUCUUGCCCGAGGAGAUCCAGAGCAUCUGCAAUGUUCCCUCGCUCAUUCCACCAAAGCCUCUGCUGGGUUUGAUCCAGAGUAUGAGGCACUGCCCUAACCAUUAGAGAUGGAUGCCAUGUUGAAAAUAACCUCAAGUAUUCAGAAAGGAAUGGAUGGAUCCUGCUUCUUAUUGCUCCCUCCAGCAAGAUGGCGGUGGAACGCUUCAUCCUCCAGAUCAGCACAACAGCAGUCUGCAGUACCAUCGGGCAGCUCAUUGUGAUGAUGGUAGCCGGAAUCACCAGGACAAUGGUCCAGACUUCCAAUUUGUACAUUGACAUAAUUGAAACUGCCUUAUUGGGUUAAAGCACAGAAUGGAUUUAGAUGAAUGAAAUAAUAUGAGCUACUGAAUUCCAUCAUCACCAAAAAAGCAUGCCAUCAUUUCUACUUCCUCAGAAGACAAGGAUAUUUGACAUUAAUUUAAAGACUCUUACCACCUUCUACAGUUGAACUGUAGAAAACGUACUGCCGGGUUGUAUCACAGCUUGGUUUGGGAACAGCUUUGCCCAAGACCACAAGAAAUUGCAGAGUUGUGGAUCACUCCAGCAUACAAACCAGACUUCCCACCAUUGACUACAUCUACACUUCACUCCCUUGGGAAAGCAGCCAACAUAAUCAAAGACUUCCACCCUUGUCAUUUCCACUUUUCCCUGUUUCCACCACAAAGAGGGUAUAAAAGCUUGAAAGUGCGUACCUUCAGACUCGGGAACAGCUUCUUCCCCUGUUAUUUGAAUUCUGAACGGUCUUUCCAGAAGCUAGGAUACAUUUCCUAAUUUCCAAUCAACAUCAUUGUGAACAUUGAACUUUUUCUCAGAAACGAUUAUGCUACAAUGUUGAGAAACUGUAUGCUGCACUAUGCAUGUUUCCCCUCUCCUUACCUAUUGUGCUUGUGUAUGGCUUGAUUGUAUUUAUGUACAGUAUUACCUUAUUUAAUUGCAUAGCAUGCAAACAAAAGCCUUUCACUGUAUCUCAGUGUACACAACAAUAAAGCAAUUUAAACGUUUUGUGUGCCACAGUAGAUUACUUCACAUUGCCAUAUUAUAUUCCUUCUGUUAUGUUCUGGCCCACACACUCAGCUUGUUUCUAUCCCUUUACAUCUUUCUAUCCCUUUCCCUCUUUACAUCCUUCUCACUGCUCAAACAUUUCCCAAGUUUUGUAUCAUCAGUAAAAUUGGAAAUGUGAUAUUUAGCUUCCUCAUCCAACUAGUUGAAGAAGACUGAAUAAUCAGGGUUCCUGUGUUACCAACCUAUUUAUUCCCAAUCCUUUCUGCCUGACAGCCAAUUCUCAAUAGCCAGCAGUAUACUACACUAAUCACAUACUAUCUGAAGUUCUAAAUGUACCACUGCCAUUGUCCAUUUAACCAACCAUAUCCUCAAAUAUCUUCAAAAAAAUUAACACCAUCCACUUUUCUGGAUUAAACUCCACUAUUGCUCAGACCAUUUGCCCAACUGCUUUAGAUCCUGCUGUAAAUUUUGAUAACAAUCUUCACUGUCUAUCAUACCACACACAUUAGUGUCACCUGCAGACUCUCAAUCCCAAAAGGCCACUCCAUUACAACUUGCCUUCAUUUAUUGCCUGCUUAAUUAGUCCAUUUUGAUCACUUUAGCAAGUCUACGGCUGCCUUGAAAUCGCUUGGGAAAGCAGCCAACAUUUGUUCUGUUUUAUUCCAUUCCUUUUAACCAUCUCUUUCCCCUCCCCCUCCCACAGGUUGGCAUGGUGGCGCAGUGGUAGAGUUGUUGCCUUGCAGCGCCAAAGUCCUAGGUUAGAUCCCGACUCCGGGUGUUUGUAUGGAGUUUGUGACCGUGUGGGUUUUCUCUGAGAUCUUCGUUUUUGGGAUGUGGAAGGAAACUGGAGAAAGCCUACAUGGUCACAAGGAGAACGUGCAAACUCCACACAGACAGCACACAAGGUCAGGAUCGAACCUGGAUCUUGUGCGCUGGUGAGAUAGCAGCUCUACCAGCUGAGCCACUGUGCUUCCCUGGGAUGCUAAUGAUCUUAGCAACCCAGUAACCUGACCCAACUCUACCCAGCCUCAACUCCACACAAAUCUCCUAUCAUUUUAUUCGAACACACUCUUAAUUACCCUCCCAUCUGCUACGGUAUAGAAGAGUCACAUCAAUGAUCCAAUUCUUCAAUUGCCUUUGAAGUUUCUGCCUUUGUGAUAAGCUGCCGAUGAUGAAAAGUGCCCCCAUUGUUCCCGCUGCUUCUAUGUUACCCUGUGCAUUAUGAUCAAGGGAUUAGUUACUUCUAAUGGGAGAGGAUGUAUCUGCAAUAGUACUAUUUGCUCUGCUUCCAUGGCUAAUCAUAGGUAUUUCUGAUGUAAACACUUCACCUUGUUCCGUUAGCACAAUUAUAACCACAUUGAUUUUCUUGAUUGAGUAAAUGGAAUGAGAAUGGAUGUGGGGGGAGAGGUAAGUCUAAAUGUAAUAAUAUAAACAGAAGUAACAUUUAACUUUUCAAACUUUGUGCAAGACCAUGUCUAUGUCUUGGGUUCACCUUUCAUCCCACGUCUGCCAUUUUCCCCCCAAAAUAUAAACUAUAUGCAGAAGAAAAAAUAUAUACAAAACCAAAGACUGUAAAAACUCAUUAUCAGUGCCUAAACAUUGGAUGGUGUCAUAGAAACAUAGAAAAUGGGCACAGGAGUAGGCCAUUCUGCCCUUCGAGUCAGCACCACCAUUCAAUGCGAUCAUGGCGGAUCAUCCUAAAUCAGCUCGCCAUUGCUGCUUUCUCCCCAUAUCCCUUAAUUCCGUACUUUGAUUCCCUUGAUUCAUACUUUGUAGUGUUCACACCUAUCUAAACAAAAUAUCCUUGUGGCCUCCAUGAGGUGACAUCCCUGUCCUUGUUUGAGGGGGGUUUCCACUAGACUCUGCCCUUCAAUGUUCAGCAGCGGAAGGACCCUAGA